GGCAGCGUGGCUUAGUGGAAAGGGCAAGGGCCUGGGAGUCAGAGGUUGUGGGUUCGAAUCCCGGCUCUGCCA
Ornithorhynchus anatinus (platypus) is the source of this 72-nucleotide non-coding RNA. The record is from Rfam. NCBI's taxonomy places the organism in Eukaryota, Metazoa, Chordata, Mammalia, Monotremata, Ornithorhynchidae.